This 14726-nucleotide long non-coding RNA is filed under the name Ananas comosus (pineapple). Its description in RNAcentral is "long non-coding RNA (ACOM_LNC021475)". Lineage: Eukaryota; Viridiplantae; Streptophyta; Magnoliopsida; Poales; Bromeliaceae. The record is from RNAcentral.
UUUAAUUUAUUAUAAUUUCAAACAUUCUAAAUUAUUAUAAUUAAAUUUUAGAGUCCAAUUUAGUUGACUAAAUACUAAUCUUUCACUGAUGUGUUAAUGAUGAGGCGUCUUAGUAAUUGCAAUGUUAUUGAUCAAAUACUAUCACUUUGCUGUUAUAUGAGCGACACAUUAUUAUUUAAUCAAUCAAAUUUGACUGUAGUACUUAAUUACUAUAAUUUAAAAAGUUUGAGCCAAAAACCUCAACAAAUUAAAGUUCGUAGACGCAAGUGUUACAAUCCUCAAAGUUUGAGGACCUAAAACGCAAAUUAGCAUGUAUAAAAUUAUACUACAAUACUUAAAAGAACGAAGUCCUUAAUACUUCCACAUCAUUUAUAAUAAUUGAGCAUUCGAAUCGACAAUCAAUAUCGUUAAGUAUGAUCCACAAUAUUUGAAAACUAAAUUUAGUGAUUUUUCGGCAUAAUUUACCUAGUAGUAAAAUAGUUUCAAAUAUAUCUUAUAUUUUCCAUUGAAAAUUAUUAAUUUUCAGACCACUUAAAUAACAGAUAAAUAAUAUCAAAAUUUAACACACUAACUAAUAUUUAGAACCAGUAAUCAUGAAUAAAUUUUUAUUAUAUUUUUAAAUUUAUAUGGAUUUAGAAAUAUGCCAUAUUUUUUCGUAACUCGAAACAUUUUAAAGGAUCAUUGUUAGGAAAAUGUAGUUAGGGUUCUGGUUAAGAAUAGUAUAAUGAGUUAAUGACCAUUUAAUCCUUAUAUUAAUUAAGUUUGACUAAUACCUAUAUAUAGCCUAUUAACUAAAAUAGUAGAUUGUAAUAAACUUUAAAAUUUCAUCUCUUUUGUUCCCAUAAAUUAAUAGAGGCUAAUUAGUUUGGUCAUUUUACUAAAUUUAGUAGCUAAUUUAAACCUUAAUUACAUUAGCAUAUUAUCCUCCAUUUGUUUUACCCCUGUUUUAAUUGAGAAAAAAUAUAUAUAUAAUUGUUUCUCUAUUUGAUAAGCUUCAAAGGUUAAUUAUUCCUUGCCUAAUGCUAUAUUUGGAAUUUGUAAAAAAAAUGCGUUACGUGUGGUUUUAAAGUUAAAAGGGAAAACUUCAAAUACCACCCUUGUGAUUUCACAUUUUCACAUUUUAGUAUCAUAUGGUUUAAAAUGUAUCAAUUUAAUAUCCCGUGAUUUUAUUUUUAUCUUUUUAUUAUCGAUUUUAUUAAUUUUUUUCGUUAAAUCAGUGACAAAAUUAAAAGUAAAGGGUACUAACGUGAAUAUUUGAUAAAUUUAGAUAGGUAUCUAAAGUUUUUUUUGUAUAUAAUUUAACGAAAUAUUAACAAAAAAGUUGCUGAAAAAAUAAAAAUGAAACCAUAAGACACUAACUUGAUACACUUUAAAUCAUAGGGUAUUAAAGUGAGAGAGUACGAAACCAAGGGGUGGUAUUUGCAGUUUACCCAAGUUAAAAAGAAAACAUUGUUAAUACGAGGGCAUUGCAAAAAAAAAAGCAUUGCUUAUGGCUAAAAUGUGAGAUGAAAAAAAUAUUCCAUUUAUUUUUCUAAAAUAUAGUACAUCGUUUGGUUAAAAAUGAAAAAUGAAAAAUGAAAAAUGAAAAAUGAAAAAUGAAAUCAAAAUAAAAAUCAAAAUAGACAGAAAUAAAAAACGGAAUGAUACAACCUCUCAAUAUAUUUGGUUCAGAAUAACAAUAAGAAUCGGUAUAGUUGAUUCAUGGUUUCAAUAUUUCAAAAAUUUUGAUUGUCAAAAAAAUAAUUAAAGAACAAACUAUAAAAAUAAUUUAAAAUUUAGUUUGUACCUCAAAACAUAAAAUUAAAUUUAUAAUUUAGAUUCAAAUUAAAAAUUAAAUAUUAAAAAUUUACAUUAAAAUAUUAAAAUGAUAAGCCAAAAUUUUAAAUGUAACUUUAAAAAAAUUUAAAAAUUUAAAAUUGAGCGGACAAUUCAAAAUGUAAAACUAAUUUUUUGAUUUGAUUCAAAUUCAAACUUACAACUAAAUUUAAAUUUAAAUUUGUAGAUCAAAUUCCAAGUGCUUGAUUGAAUUAUAUUGUAAUUUAAUUUCUAAAUCAAAAUCUAGAAUUAAAAUUUUAAUUUCUAAUUUAUUUUUAUAUUUUAAUUAAAAAUUAAAGGCACAAAUUUAAAUUUAAUUUUAAAUAAAAAUAUAAAAUAUAAUUAAGAUAUUUUUGUAAAGUGCAUUUUUUCUGCCUAAAUUCAACUUCCAAUCCGACUUUCUACACUGAAUUGAAAAAAAGGUAAAUGGAGAUUCACAUUCAUCCGAGAAUUGAAAUCUGAAUAGAACUCCGGCAUAUCAAACACUCACAAACGAAUUCGUCCAUUCCAAUUCUGAUUCUUGGAUAAAAAAGAGCGAACCAAAAACGCUCAUAAUUUCUAUGAUUCCUCUAGACAACCAAGAAACAUAUUUCCACAUAUAGUUUCUCAACUAAAUAGCAUUAGAUUGCUAUUAAUACCAAAAUGGGCUCUAACUUUAAUUAGCAAAGACAAAUGCAUAAAUAACACGCAGAUUCCACCUUCUAAACAAAGAGCGAAGGAUUUAAAUGCCCAUCGGCACAGACUGUAUCCAUCGUGUCGUAUCUUACCAACAAGAUAUUAUUACGAUAUAGCUCUUGUGCAGAUGGCGCAGUUCAAAAUCUUUUAUUCUUUAAAUUAGUAAAUAAUUUUCUCAAUAAAAUUCAAAAGAUUUGAUAAAUAUACAUAAUAAACAGUUAAAAUAUUUUAUUACUAAGGAAAAUAAAUAUACUAUGCCAUUAUGUGUCGGCACACAUAUUUUUUGUGACUGACAUGCAUUGGCACAGUCUGACACGCACCGUGCGAGCAAGCUUCCGACACGACUCCGCGCCACGGCAUUUAAAUCCUUGCAAAGAGCUACUUGGGCCAAAAGGAACUUUAUAAGACUUUGUUUGGGAUUGCGGAAAAGGUAAGAUUGACAAAUAUUCCAUUCCAUUUACUUCUACAAAAAUAUACUUUUGCUUAGAUCAAAACUAUUCGAUUCUAAUAUAAUUUUUGCGGUCCCACCAAAAAGCGAAAAAGCAAAUCCUAUAUACUUUUCCCCAACCUAAUAAAAAUAAAACCAUGCUCCCAACACUGUAGAAGAGUUGGAAAAUUUUCUACAAUGGAUAAAGAAAGGAAAUGAUCAAAAGUAAUAGACACUAUUGAAUAGUUUAAAAGAUGCAAAUGAAUCAAACCUCAGCAGGAAAUAUAAGCAUCCCUUGUUUCAGCUUCUAGCGCAUCAGAGAUCGCAACACGGUCUCGACUUCUGCUAAAGGCUGUCCAGCAUAUAGUUGAAGCUGGCCUUUUCUUACAACAAUUAACUUCAAUUCAUUCGACUCGACGGCCUCACUAAGCUCCUGCAAAACAUUCAGCAUCUACACUUUUUAGCAGUAGUUAUAAGAAUCGAAAGUCAAAAGAAGAGAAUCUUCUAUGCUUUUUUCAUCAUUAGUUACACUCAAAUACUCGUCGUUUUUAUACAUCGUGUUUGUGUCCGUAGAAAUUCUUACUUGAAUUGUCAGAGGAACAACGUCGGCACUGACGUCACCCAAGCCUUCGAAAAAUGACUCCAGCAAGUAGCAGAAAUUUGUCGCAUCACCACGAUCUUGAAAUGCAACUGUAUAGGAUGGAGAAUCGUCAUUUUCUGAAGACAAGUCCAUGUUUAACGAAUAAAGUCCUCUGGGGCCACUUCGCUCUACACCUCUGCGUAAAAAAAUUCCCUGAAAAUCAUUUUAACAAACAUUCAGAAAACUAAAAGUUUGUGGCGUGGAAGGGUUAAUUUAAAUAGAUACGACACAAGAACAGUAAAGUAGAUUGUGUAAAUGGUAAGUUUGUUACAUUUUAAUGCAUGUGACAUGAAAUGAAAAUUGCUUACUAGGACAUAUGGGAGUUUCAACCACCACGAUUUCUCUUCCGCAUCAAUAUCGUCAUUUUUCCUAUUCAUUUUCGCCGCUUUAAUGGGACUUUGAGUAUUCCGGUCAUCAAGCAUGAGUUUCUUUUCUUCUAUAGAUUUGUCAUGCCAACUAGAUGAAGCCGUUAAAGUUUCCAAAUUACGAAGAUUCCUUGGCGUCAAAGAGUUGGGAGGUCGUACUUCAUCUGUUUUAUGCAAUUGAGAAGACUCUUCCACAGGACUAUGAUAAGCAAUCUGCUGAUAACCGCCUAAAAUGGAUAAAUAAAUAAUUUUAUCGAAUAAUCAAUUGCAUUUUUACUAGAUAAAGAGUUUAAGCUAGAAAUCUGCAUGCCAUUCUUAAUCCACUAUAUUCUAUCUGAAGUUCAUGGUUUUAGGCAACUUAGUUAUUUGCUCAUCAUGCAGCGAUUAUGCCCUCCUUGAUGUGGUCUAUCAGAGGUUGCAAAAAAGGGAAGGUCUUAGGAUAUAUGUGACACCCUAAUAGUCCCACAUCGGAUAGAAAAAAAAUUAUAUAUGAAAAUUAUAAGGACUAAGGACUCCAAUAAUAAUAACUAGGCUUAAUAUUUUGAGGCAGUGGUUUGAAACCCAACAUAGCGGUUUGGGGGCAGAAAGAUGUGAAACUGAGAAAAUGAACAUGAGAAUGUACUAUUGCAUAAUUGUUAAGAACCACAUGCAUAACUAAAGAUUUAGGUGAUUUUCUUAGUACAAGCCAUGGAUAUUGGAUAAGAAUCAUUGUACUCUAAAGGCAUGUUUGUUUCAUUGAAACUGGACGGGCAUGUUUGUUUUAUUGAAACUGGACUUUCGGUAAGUGGAGUUCAGGUAAAAAGUAUUUCUCCCCUGAUGUUUGUUUCAUAACUAUGGAAAUGAAGUUUCUUCAGUUCUGCCGUUUGUUUGGCGGAAAGUAAAUAAUGUAAAGCUAUAAUUUAUGUAUAAAUAAAAAAUAACUUGAUAAAUAAUAAAUUAUAAUAUAAUAAAUAAAAAUAAUAUAAUUAUAUUCCUAUAUAAUUAAAAUGUUUAAUCUAAACAACUAAAUUAUUUUUUAAACAACUAAAUUAUUUUUCAUACAUAAAUUAUAAUAAUACAACAAUAAAAUUAUAAAUUACUAAAAUGAAGGAAAUACUAAAACUUAACUAAUCAAUUUUUAUCAUAUUUUAAAUAUGCAAACUAAAGAAAAGAGCAAUUAGUACCAUAAUUAAAUAUACUUAAAUAUAACUAGCAUUACCCAUUGUAUUAUUUUAUUAUUUGUUCCUUCACCUCUCUUCACCGUAAUUGACUUCGGCCCAUUCGGCCCAUGGUGGGCCGAAGUCAAUUACGGUAUUUUCGGUAACUCGAAUUUCGACUGUAUUUUUAUUACAGUGAACCAAACAGCAGAAGUGAUUGUUUAUGACUGAAAACAGCUUCACCCCUCUCCACUUUCACCCAAACAAACAAGCCCUAAGAACGUGAGACACAAUGGAAAUAUGGUGGAUAUGGCACUCAAAGCUAAUUGUAUACUAAGUUCACAUGGGGAAAUGAGUUAAAUCAACAAGAAACAAACAAAUAUUACACAUUUCAAACAGAUUCAACUAAUGUAAACAUAAAAGAAAGAGAAUUUUAUACCAUUUGCAUCAUCAUCAUCAUCAUCUUUAACCUCUGAACCCCCAAAUCCAUUGGAAACAUUUCUACUCUUCGCAUUCGAGCUCAAAGCUUCGAGCUUUCUCUUUUCAUUUGAUUCCCCUGUCUCCCUCUUUCCAUUCAAACUCAUCGAAUUCGUAGAAGAACUCUUCUUCGAACGAGCGAGCCCUCGACCGAUUUCGUCCCUAAUUCCAUCCUUACCGGCCGCAAGAUCCCUCCUUUCCUUCUCCCUCACCUCCUUCACCAUUGCUCUUAUCAAUUGCAACCUUCUUUCGAACUCCGAAACCUCGCCGACUACUCUGCCCACAUGUCCCUCCACCCUCCCCUGUUCCAAACCCUCCCUCCUCUUCUCCAAGCUCCCAUUGCCGCGGCCACUGCCGAGGAACCAAACAGCGGCAAGGGUUUGAACAACAAGAAGGAGAGCGAAUCGCAAACCUAGGUCGAGAACCGGGUUCGGGAGCCAUCGAUGCGCAGGCGCGGGGGGGAAUGGGUCGGCCGCUUCUUCGAGGGCUUCGACCUCCGCUCCGAGGACGGGGAGGUGGGCAAUGGCGGAGGCUUCACGGGCCUCAUCGAGCUGAGAGUUUUGAGGAGGGGUUUGGUGGGUUUGUAGGGGGAGAGGAGGUGGGUUUUGGGGAGGCGUUUCUAGGGUUUUGGGGAGCUUGAUGCGGAGGUGGUUGCGACGCUUGGUGAGGGGUUUGGGGGAGGGGAGUGGGGAGGAGUGGAGGCCUCUAAUGGCGCUUCUUUGAGGAGAGGAGGGAAGGGAGAGGAAGAAGAGGAGAGGGGAUGAGGAGGAGCCCAUGACCAUGGUGAGGGUUUCACCAUGGCUUUGCGAAAAUGAAGGAGAUAAUGGAAAUGAAGGCCUUGUGUAGUGAUGAGUGUAUUUUUACAGAGUGUUAUUUGCAUAUACCUUCCUGCAAACAUAGUAAAUUACGAAAAUAUUCCUGCAAAACGGAAACUCCAUAAGCUGUCCCUGCAAAAGUCCUAAUUUAUGCAGAUAUGUCCCUCUGCUGUUUAUUUUUUAACAGUUUUCAUGUAAAAUGAUCAUUUUGCCCUCACAAAUAUAUCCCUCCAAAAGCAUCUUCCCCCUUUCUUUCUCUUCCUCUUCCUCUUCGGGCCGCCGGAGCGGAUGGCGACGACGGCGCGGGUCGAGUUCGCCGGCGACAAAGAAGAGGGAAGAGAAAGAAUGAGAGGAAGAAAAAAAGGGAAGAGGAAGAAGGAGAGGAAGAGGGAGAGGAAGAGGGAAGAGAAAGAAGAAGAGGGAAAGGGUUCGUCCGGCGACGAAGAAGAGGGAAGAGGAAGAGGAAGAGGAAAAGAAAGAGGGAGAGGAAGAAGAAGAGGGAAAGGGAGAGGGUUCGCCGCUGCCGUCGCAUCUUCUCCCUCGCCGGCGAUGAAGAAGAGGGAAGAGGAAGAGGGAGAGGAAGAAGAAGGGAGAAAAGGGAAGAGGGAGAGGAAGAAGAAGGAAAAGAAAGAGAGAGGGUUCGCCGUCGCUGCCGUCGUCGCCGCCGUCGCUGCCGCCGCUGCCCUCGCCGGCGACGAAGAAGAGGGAAGAAGAAGAGGGGGAAGAAGAAGAAGGGUAGAAUCGUAAAUUUACCUUAUAAUUAACCAUGGUUAAGUACUUUAACCGUGGUUAACGAAAAUUUUCUAACAGUCCUUAACGGCAGGGACAUAUCUGCAUAACUUUAGACUUUUGCAGGGAUAACUUAUGGAGUUUCCGUUUUGCAGGGAUAUUUCCGCAAUUGACUAUGUUUGCAGGGACCUGUAUGCAUUUAACCCUUUUACAAACUUGGUUGAGGAUGGAAAGGGGUUUGGGAUGUCAAUGGGUAUGGAUUACCCGAAAUAUUAUCCGAAUCCGAACGGGACGGGUUUAUUCGAGCUAAAUGGGUAUGGAUUCGAUUAUGGGCAUAAAAAAUAAAAAACCCGACGGAUAUGAAUACAGGUAUGGAUUUUAUAUUUACCCGACCCGAACCCAAACUCGACCCAAACCCGAACCCGAACCCGAACCCGAAUAAAUUAUAUAUAUACAUACUUUAUUUUUAUUUAUUAUAUAAAAUGUAAAAUAUUUAAUAGUUUUAUCUCUUACAUCUUCAUUCAACGGUAUAGAUUUUUAAAACCCGCCGGGUCCGGGUCCGGGUCCUGGUUCGGGUUUCGGGUUUUUGGUCAGGUACGGAUAUGCGUAUGGAUUUUUAAAACCCGCCGGGUCCGGGUCCGGGUCCUGGUUCGGGUUUCGGGUUUUUGGUCAGGUACGGAUAUGCGUAUGGAUUUUUAAAACCCGCCGGGUCCGGGUCCGGGUCCUGGUUCGGGUUUCGGGUUUUUGGUCAGGUACGGAUAUGCGUAUGGAUUUUUAAAACCCGCCGGGUUCAGGUCCGGGUACGAAUUUUAAUUUGGUUUUCGGGUUCGGAUUUUUAAAAACCCGACCCAAACCCAACCCGUUGACAUCUCUAAAAUGUGUGGUUAAUUGCACCAUUGCCCCCCAAAUUUGCACAUUCAUUUUAGUACCCCUUUUUUUAUCUAUUUUUGGAUAAAUUAUACUUUUGGUUAUCAAAUUUUAAUUCAUUAAUAAUUUUUUAUUUAAAAAUUUUAAAUUAUUAUAAUCAAAUUUUAUAACUCAUUUUAGGGUCUCCUUUAAUAUUUUCUUCUCCUUUUUGUACUAUAGCCGAAGUGUCAUUCGGCAAUCUUUUUUUCGCCCUCACUUAUCUCCUCCUCCAAGCACCAUGUUUCUGGCUCUUCUAUCUUUCCUUUCACGUAUGUCUUGUCAGCGAUUGUGCUUCAUAGUAGCCUUUGCGCCAUCACCCUUUCGCCGACACUGCACUUCCCCUUUGCUAUAGUACUAGGCACCUUUUCGUCGUCUUAUUCGUACUAUGUGCAGUAAUUAGGGACAUUCUCAAGAGACGCCUCAUCCCUUCCAAGGUCAACCUAUGUUCUCCGUUUUCUUACCUUAAGAUUGUUUCGUGCUUUUCACCAUUCGAAGUUUUCAGACUUUCAACCAGAAUUCUGUUCCUACUCACACGGCUACUAGCCAAAGUCAUCCUUUACCCGAAGCUUUUCGAGUUUUGGCACAUCCUUAUAUUAAGCGCAAGGCAUCACCUUGCUGAAGCCUCUGUUCGUGCGACCCACGUGGCACACUCUAGCCCGCUUGUUCGUUGUUGCUAAAAGUAGGUAUCAACACAAAGAGAUAUGCCAAACAAGAUAUUUAUGAUAAAUCUUUAUAGGUAUGUGAAACAACAAUAAAAAAUUAAAUAUAUACCAAAAUUCAGGAUCAUAAACAAAAUAAAAGAACUCACAUAGGGCCAUAUAGAAGAUAUUCUUGAUCAAUCUGCAGAUGCGAGAAGUCUGGCUAUAAUCUAAAUGUCACCAAUCAAACUUCGAUAAUCUGGUUUCUCCUUUUUUUUCAGACACUCUCCGUAUGCUGUAGAACAGAUGAUAAUUAUUCACCAAAAUACGUACGAGAAGGUGACAUGACCAAUAUCUCUUUUAUAUAGAGUCCAGAUCAACUUCCCAUUAAAGUCUGAUAAGGAUUCUAUUUAAUUUGAAUAGAUGCAAAAGAGAUAAGAUAUAUCAUAUCAAAUAAUUCUAUAUCUAUUAGGAUUGACCUUUAUCUACAGUAAAUCCAAAUUUAAAUAUGAUUAAUUGGCCUCAUUUAUAAAAAUUCUAACAAUUUAUGCAUCCAAGGGCCUAAAUAAUUUUAAAAUCACUAUUCUAGCUAUAGGGUAUUUUUAUUUUGUUAUUUAAUUUUUUGAAUUAUUUGCUUUGUUACUUGACGUCUUUGAAAAAUAAUACAUGUGCCUAAUGCUUAUGUAUAUUUAUGCACUAAAGCUUUAUCAUCUUUUCUCAUUUAGUAGUUGUAAUGACCUAACCUGUGUAAUUUAUAAAUUUUGAAUUUAAACUUUAAAUUUGAUAUUUUAACUUAAUUUAAAUUUUGAGACUUUAAAUUUGAUAUUUUUGAAUUAAUUUGAAUUUUGAAAAUUUAAAUUUUUAAUUUCAAGUUAGAAUUUUAAAUUGAUGAAGUUUUAGUCAACCAAUGGUCAACCGUCAGAGCUUUUUGUUUGACCGACCUCGGCCACUAGCCUCCAGCUAUUUCUUUCUACUAUUUUUUCUCUUUUGUUCAUCUCCUGCCCAUGCGAAAGGAUGAGAGCACGUGUUCCUCCCUGUGUAAACUCUUUUCUUUUUUUCUUCCCUCCCCAUUCAUGUCCACUCUCUAAUUCUUCCUCUUUCUCUUUUUUCUUCCCUCUCUUCCUUCCUCUCUUCUUCUUUUUCCUCUAUCUCCACUCCUUUUAUUUUCUUUUUCUCUCUACUUAGCUAGCCACCCUUUUCUUUCACUCUUGAAUCUUGACGCUUUUAAUCCUACCUUGAGCUCACACCGGAAUAGUGGCUAAGGCUCUCCUUUCAUAAGGGUUUUGGCAAGAUAGGGGACCAAGCUUGAGAGUCCUAUAUUGUAGCACCAACUUCAAUUAGGAUAAACUUGGAACUUAGCCAAAAUCUUUGUUUUUCAUCAAAUGAUGUACAUUGAUGUUUUGAAAGUUUUUAAUGAAAAUUUUAGGUUGUGUUGCUAUUUGGAAAUGAGUUAGUUAUGAUAUAUCUUUGGUUUAGUAAAAUUCAGAAUUGAACUAUAGUUUAUGAUAACUAAAUGGUAGACCAACCACUCCACCACGCUCCACCACGGUCGAUCAAUGAGAUGGCUAACGGAAGCUAUAGCUUUGGUCUUCGAAUGAAUGACUACCAUCAUAGUCUUGAUUGACCUUUACCCCGGUCGACCAUUUGUGAGAUGAAGAUUGAUUAUGGACAACAGAAUGAGCUAAACUCGUGGUUUUUUUUUUCUUUAGUUUUCUUGGCUAGCUUCAUUAGGAGCUAUGGAGAGUCUUCUUUAUUGAUUUAAUUAGUGCUUCUGUUUUUCUUUAGGAUUGAUUAAGGAUCUCUUCACCUCACUUUUAUCUUUUAUUUUCUGAGAACCUUAUUGAUACUGAUGAAUAGAAGAUUUCUCUCCAAGUUACGUCACUAAAAUUAAAAUAAUCCUCCUUUCUAAGUUAUUUUAAUUUUUAUUUUAUUGUCCAUAUCUACUCAUAUGAGAGAUUGUAUUUGAAAAAUUGCACUUUCUUUAUGAAUAUAUUAUCUUGUUAUUAGAUUGUUGGUAUAUGAACUGACAUAAACAUGCAUAUCUUUUUAGAAAAUUCCUCGAUGACUUAGCUUUCAAGAUUCAACCUACAUUUAUAAUAGGGGCAAUUGCUUAUAUACCCCUGAAAAGUUUCCGACUUUUCGAUUUACCCCUCUUAGAAGGCUAAUAUUGAAAAUACCCUUUCUACGUUCCAACCUAUUUCUAAUAUAUCCCCAGAGUUAAAAUUUGUUAAUUAACUCUGUUAUCUCUGUAAAAUUACUAUUUUGCCCUUUCAAAUAUACCCUUCCACAAUCACUGACUUUCUUAUAUGCCCUUAAAAUCAGGGGCACAAAAAGUAUUAUGACUUUUGGUCUUUUCUAAUAUACCCCUCUAUCGUCACCAACAUUUCUUAUUUGCCCUUAAGUUAAGGGCAAAAUUGGUAUUUUAAUUUUUUUUUUAUCUAUGGUAGAUAUUUAACUCACGUUUAAUCCAAGUUAACUUAACAGGAGAUAACUGAGGGGGUAUUUUAUAAUAACGGUGGAAUAUAUGAGGAGUAUUUUAGAAAGAAAAAAAAGGUAGGGAUAAAUCGGAUAUUUUCAAACGUAUGACGGGUAUAUAGACAAUUAUCCCUUUAUAAUAUCUAUAAAUACUAGUCCGCAUAUUUAACUUUCAGGGCUUGUUUAACACAUAAAAGUAAUAUUCGACAUCCUAAUUACAUUGUUAUGAGUUGAACUUAAGAAUUUGGAUAUUAUACGCUUCAUCAUUGAAUGAUUUGAUUGAAUAACAUCACUUACUGAAUAUGCCCUUCUAUUUACAUUAGUGGAAAUUGUUAAUUUCGAUAUUUUAUCAUACUAUUUAACACAAUUAUAUAAUUUCUUGGACAUCUAUCUUAGAUACUUUCGUUGUAUUUAUAAGAAUGGAGUUAGAUAUAGGUUUUAUGUGAUGAGGGCUAUGGUGUCAUUGUGGAGUAUUAUGGUCACGGUUGUUGGUGAUGUGUCUCAGUUUAUAACGGGGGUCGGGAUCAAGAAUCCGGUUAUUUGAUAUUUAAGAUCAUUAUGACUUUUGGCCUAUAUUGUAAAUAAACGUUAGAUAUAAUAUAGGAUGUGGAGUAGAAUUUAGAUUACUACAAUUUAGACAGAUGUCGAAUGUUGCUAGGAGGGUGAGGAGCUGCACUCCGAUGGACUGUCCGAGGACAAUGAUUAUACUAUGGACGGAUGUUGUUGAUAAAUGAAUGUAAGUAUCAUAUGCCUAAAAUAUGUGUUGGGUAUGAACAAAGUGUAGUAUCAUGAACAUGCAGUGCAUGAGGAUUAUUUACUAUAUGGAUAUUUCAUAUCAUUAGUAGGAUGAACAAUGUACGCCUGAAAUGAGUGCAACGUAGUUAUGAUUACUAUUUUGAAAAUAAUGUACGCCUGAGAUGAAUGUUGAGUAUAUUAUGACCACUAUUCUUCAAAUAAUAUAUGCUUGAAAUGAAUGUCAAAUACAUUAUAAUUGUUAUUUUAGAGUGUUACGCUGUGUGUGAAGGUGAAUGAUAUGAUUUUGGAGUAAAUUAAGAUGCAUUGUGGGAGUGAUAUGCCAGAUGAAUAUUUCAUAUCUCUAGUGGGAUAAAUAGCGUACACCUAAGAUGAGUGUAAGAUACGUUAUGACUUCUAUUUUGAAAAUAACGUACGACUGAGAUGAAUGCCAAAUAUAUUAUGACUAACGUGUGCUUGAAAUAAGUGUUAGAUAUGUUAUAAUCAUUAUUCUGGAGUAUUGUGCUAUGUACGAAGGUAGGUGGCAUGGUUUUGGAGUAGAUUAGGGUGUAGGGUGCAGGGUAUGAACUUACAAUCAUGGGGAUGAUAUGUUAGAUAGAUAUUUUAUAUUACUAGUGGGAUGAAGAAUUAACGUAUGCCUGAAAUGAGUGCAAGAUAUAUUAUGACCACUAUUUUGAAAAUAACGUACAAUUGAUGAGAUGAAUAUAGAGUCAUUAUGACCACUAUUCUUUGGAAUAAUGUAUGCUUAAAAUAAGUGUAAGGGACAUUAUAAUCGCUAUUCUAGAGUGUUAGUUGUGUAUGAAGAUUGGUGGUAUGGUUUUGAAUUAAAUUAGCGUGGAGCUCGUUGGUAUUUGACUGUCAUAUUGUGAUCGAGUUGAGUUUUUUUUUCGGUAUUAGUAAUGUAGAAUUUUUUUUCUUUAUUUGUUAUUGGUUUUAUAUUUUUUGAUCUAGACUUUUUUCAUAUUUGAAAAGUAUUAUAUCAUAUCAUUAUUUAUUAAUUAAUUAAUUCAAUUAAUUAUUAUUUUUUUGAGAUGGUAUCCUAAUCACAUGAGUCUUGUGCUCAGGCUUGCGCUGGCAAACACGAGAUAUGGCCUUCUAAACACAUCCAGCAUGACCUAUUUUUGGAAACAUGUGGUAUCUACAUUAUUACUAGUUACAUACCUUCCUUUUCUUUCUUUCCUUGUGCAUGCAUGUAGAUAUAUAUUUUUUGCUUGUAUCGAUCAUUUUCUACAGCUUUGAUGUAUAUGUAUUUAGACAUUUAUUUUAUAUUUAUACUUACAUAUGUAUACACGUCAUUUUGAUUUGUAUCAUUUGUGUUUAUUUUCUUUAUCAUUUCUGCUUAAUCUUUUCGUGAUCUUCUUCUAUAUAAUGGUUCUUAUUGUAAUCUUGAUUACUCUCCAUAGAGCUUUUUGUUGUCAACUCAGUAUGCAAUGCAAAUAAGCCUUGCACACCCAUAAGUUUUGAGUUUAAUUAAAACUAGCAAUUAACUCAUGCAAUGCAUGAAAUAGCAACCAAAUUUUAAUUAUAAUAACUUAUAGUAAAAAAAUAAUGUGUUACCCAAAAAUAUUGCACUCUUAAACCUUUUAUUCAUAAAAGCAUAUAGAAACUAAAACUUAAACUUACUUUCUAAGCAAAUCAAAAGAACAAUAAUAUCUUACUCUUUAUGUGGAGGUAAGCGAUGAAAAAGAGAGAAUAAAAAAAGAAUAACAAAACUAACCUGUUAUCUUUUUUGAAAGAGUCUAAAUAUUGCUAAAAAAUUUAUUGGUGCUCACCCGCCAAGAUAAUAAAAUUGUCCAAAUUGUCUGUUCAUUGUGAUAAUUGGCAUGAUAUAUAAUUUAAAAAAGAAAAUAACAUAAUAUAUAAUUUGAAAAAAAAAUUAUGAAGGCUAAAUUAUAGAAAACCCCCCUGUCAAAACCCGCUUUUUCAUUCCUCUACCAUGUCAUUUAAAAAUCUACACUUUGCUCUCUUAAAAAUAAAAAAUAUUCAGAAGGGGGGUACAGUGUUAAUUGUAUUGACAAAAUGACCAAAAUGCCCUCUCCAUCUUCGUAUUCUCCCCUACGCUGCUUCAUCUGUAGCCUCUCCACCUUCGUCCUUUGUGCCUCCCUCGACCCCAUCUCUCCCUCCGCCGCCCCGCCCUCACUCUGCUUCAUUAGGCAACGGUGGGAAGAGGUCGGGUUGGGUGAGGGUGAGGCGGCGGAGGAGGCGAGGGCAUGAGUGUGGGCGCGGACGAAGGGAUAGGCGAGAGGGAGAUGGUGGAGGAGGGCAAGACGACACGACCGACAACGUCAUCAGUAAGGGGAGGAAGGCGGCGCUGCUGAGAAGGGAUAGAAGGGUAUUUUAGGUAUAAAAAAUAUAAUAAUGGGAUAUAGAUGGAACCCUAACGGAACACUGAUGGCGGGGUCGGAAGUAAAUAUUUUUAUUUUUUAAGGGGACAUAGUAUAGGUUUUUAAAUGACAGGAAAAAAAGUGAAAAAAGUGAGUUUUGUCAGGGGGCUUUUCUGUAAUUUAACCAAUUAUGAAAGGGUAGAUUAUUUCAUGAAAUGAGAAAAAUAAGCUAAAAGGUUAUGCCAAGGAGAGGUGCAAAAUAGCAAGACCUCAUUUUGCAUGAUGUAUUUCUUUCUUUGAAAAUUUUUGUAUAUUUAUUAUGAUUAAUAAAGUUCGAGAGUUAUACUCAAAAUUUUGUAAUGAAAAGAGAGUUAAUUAAGAUUCAUAAAACUUGGGAGUUAUAUCAAGAAAAUUUAUAACAAAAGAGAGCACUUCAAAUGGGUAGCAAUCAUUUACUUUAAAUUUCUUAAUGAUCAAUAGUAUCUAUUACUAUAGCGGUAUAGUCCAAUCUCUCUACCUAUCCUUAGCAAUUAAUCGAUUAUUAGAAUUAA